AGAGUUUGAUCAUGGCUCAGGAUGAACGCUAGCGGGAGUAACACAUGCAAGUCGAGGGGCAGCACGGGCUUCGGCCUGGUGGCGACCGGCGCACGGGUGCGUAACGCGAUGCNNCCUGCCUUAUGCAGGGGGAUAGCCCAUGGAAACGUGGAUUAAUACCCCAUAGAAUCAAUGAUUCGCAUGGAUUAUUGAUUAAAACUUCGGUGGCAUAAGAUGGGCAUGCGUCUGAUUAGCUUGUUGGUGAGGUAACGGCUCACCAAGGCGACGAUCAGUAGGGGUUCUGAGAGGAUUAUCCCCCACACUGGUACUGAGACACGGACCAGACUCCUACGGGAGGCAGCAGUGAGGAAUAUUGGUCAAUGGGCGCGAGCCUGAACCAGCCAUCCCGCGUGCAGGAUGACGGCCCUAUGGGUUGUAAACUGCUUUUCUACGCCAAGAAACCUGAUUACGUGUAAUCAGUUGCCGGUAGCGUAGGAAUAAGCAUCGGCUAACUCCGUGCCAGCAGCCGCGGUAAUACGGAGGAUGCAAGCGUUAUCCGGAUUCAUUGGGUUUAAAGGGUGCGCAGGUGGGCUUGUAAGUCAGUGGUGAAAUGCUGCCGCUUAACGGUAGAAUUGCCAUUUGAUACUGCGAGUCUUGAGUAUGGUUGAGGUAGGCGGAAUGUGUUGUAGCGGUGAAAUGCAUAGAUAUGACACAGAACGCCGAUUGCGAAGGCAGCUUACUAAGCCAUUACUGACGCUGAGGCACGAAAGCGUGGGGAGCGAACAGGAUUAGAUACCCUAGUAGUCC
RNAcentral lists this ribosomal RNA (786 nucleotides) under uncultured bacterium. Its description in RNAcentral is "bacterial SSU rRNA". It matches the Rfam family "Bacterial small subunit ribosomal RNA", at positions 8 to 796 of the family's 1533-position model. The record is from RNAcentral.